This is a long non-coding RNA of Panthera uncia (snow leopard), 253 nucleotides long. RefSeq lists it as uncharacterized. NCBI's taxonomy places the organism in Eukaryota, Metazoa, Chordata, Mammalia, Carnivora, Felidae. The record is from RefSeq and is a predicted model, not a curated record. The transcript is spliced from 3 exons.
AUUCUAUGUCAUCAGUGCUCCAAGGAAGAUCAAUGCCAGGAAACCAGCAGAAUGAAUCUGCCUUCCCAGCACUGCUCAGGUGCCUGUGGACCCCGGCAGAAAAGCAUCCAGAGAACGUUUGCCCCGGCCCCAGCCUGACUGCAGAGAGGGCUGCUCGAUCAUCCAAGGGCUCGGUGCCAGUCUUUCUGGCAGUCUGCAAGCCGGAGACCCACGGAAGCUCAUUGAGGAGAACGGAAGCCACCGACAGACCCAG